Molecule: non-coding RNA, 85 nt
Organism: Felis catus (domestic cat)
Lineage: Eukaryota; Metazoa; Chordata; Mammalia; Carnivora; Felidae
Source: Rfam
ACUUGGGUGGCUCAGUCAGUUAAGCGUCUGACUUAGGCUCAGGUCAUGAUCUCACAUUUUGUGGGUUCGAGCCCCACAUCAGGCU